RNAcentral lists this transfer RNA (88 nucleotides) under Alphaproteobacteria bacterium. Its description in RNAcentral is "tRNA-Leu". It matches the Rfam family "tRNA". Rfam says of the family: Transfer RNA (tRNA) molecules are approximately 80 nucleotides in length. Their secondary structure includes four short double-helical elements and three loops (D, anti-codon, and T loops). The record is from RNAcentral. Lineage: Bacteria; Pseudomonadati; Pseudomonadota; Alphaproteobacteria. RNAcentral also lists the same sequence under 2 other names.
GCGAGCGUGGCGGAAUAGGUAGACGCACUGGACUUAAAAUCCAGUGACCAUAUUGGUCGUGGGGGUUCAAGUCCCCCCGCUCGUACCA